GUUCUCCCUAGGAUAACAUUUAUUCCUUCCUCUUUAAUUGAGAGCUCCAUGUUGGUAUACCCCUCACAUGGUAAAUGAAGUAUCUGCCCCAAAAGCACAGGAUCUAGGCUAAUGUCUACACCCUUUACUGUAGAUUUCACUGUUUCAUUGCUGUACCCCAAAUUUAGGUAAAAUUCUCUGACUAGAUCGACAUGUGUAUUUUUUUUUAAGGAGCAGUAAAAUUUUCAUCCUUGGCCCUUAAUCUUUGAUCCGAUAGUGAACCCUUCCUUUUC
RNAcentral lists this long non-coding RNA (272 nucleotides) under Elaeis guineensis (African oil palm). RNAcentral describes it as "long non-coding RNA (EGUI_LNC033034)". The record is from RNAcentral. Lineage: Eukaryota; Viridiplantae; Streptophyta; Magnoliopsida; Arecales; Arecaceae.